Mercenaria mercenaria is the source of this 1436-nucleotide long non-coding RNA. RefSeq lists it as uncharacterized. The record is from RefSeq and is a predicted model, not a curated record. Lineage: Eukaryota; Metazoa; Mollusca; Bivalvia; Venerida; Veneridae. The transcript is spliced from 3 exons.
AAACAAAAAUGGCGUCGAAACUAAUGAGCGUAAAACAGAUGAGCGAAGGAUAUAGUUCCCUUUUUUAUUAAAAAAAAACUGGUCUUCACUUUCUUUAUGGAAAUACGGAAGGUAGUCGAUUUUCUCUCAAAGAUAUACAUACUGAUGAAAUAGUUAUAAAAUUUGUCAAAACAUGUAACGCCAGUGAUUAAUCAGUAGAGUCUGAUACAGAAGAAAAUAACUUGACAGAGCCCGAUAUUGACGAAGAAGAGACAGGCUUUAAGCUUUUACGAUUUUAUGCACAAACAUUGCAACUAGUGGUACGAGAUGGACUCCGGGAUUGCAGUUUAGAUAUUCUCAAAGUUAAAGCCAAAGCAUCAAAAAUUGCUGGACACAUUAGAAAAUCCGUUGCUGCUUCAGACAUAAUGUAGGAAGAAAUCAGAGUCCACGUUGGAACAGCCAGCUUGUCAUGAUCAUUCUCAAUAUUCCAGAAGAGAAAUUAAAUCGUGUUGAUUAUUCAUUGAAACUUAUAUCAUACGAAAGAAAAUUACUUAGUGAAAUAUGUAAAAUUUUGAGUCCACUUGAAUUAGCCACCAACAUGAUUCAGACUUAAAAAACUGUAAAAGUGCUAGAAAGACUAUUCCACUAACAAUAGGACUGAAGAGACAUCUGAAAAACAUUCAGUGUGACUAUAACUCAAACUUAGUUAAAAGGCUCAGGGAGUCUACAGAACAAAGAAUGUCCAUAUAUGAGGCGGAAGACACCUUUGUAACUAUCGACAUCCUCGAUCCCAGGUUCAAGUAAACUUGGUGUGAACCAGAUCAGAUCCAGAUAUACAGCAGAAACCUCAAACAGAAGGUCAAAAACACAGUCCAAAUGUUCAGGAAGAUGAACAAUCACCACCUCUCAAACAUACUAAACUAGAUCAAGAGGCUGAAGAUUUCUUCCGUUUCCUUCGCAAUCUACUUUCAAACGGUACAGGAACCCUUCUGGCUCAGGAGAAUUUGAGGUCGAUGAGGAAUGCAUAGGCAAAUAGGACGACCCACUCUAGUACUGGAAGAAACACUGUUCAUAGUACCCCACAUUAGCGGAACUUGCAGUUAGAUUCCUUGCCAUUCCUGCUACUUCGGUGCCAGUCGAAAGAUAUACUCUACCGAAGACAAGAUUGUCAGGCCAGAUCGUAACAGACUAAACGAUCAAAUCUUUGAGCAGCUUAUGCUCAUAAAAUGCAACUGUGAUAAAACAUUAAUACAUAAACAAUAUCAAUAACUGGAGACAAAGACAAAUACAAAAUGCUGUAGAAUUUAGAUUCUGUGUUUUUUAUGGUGCUGUUGGAUCAUUUCAAGUAUUUCAUACAAAUUAAUUCCUACUUGGUAAAUUAGAUUCAUUACAGGCGUUAAAUGUAAUCAAGUCAUGUGUUGCAGCUAUGAAAUAAACAAUUAAAAUGAUUAAAUGAA